Molecule: ribosomal RNA, 237 nt
Filed under: uncultured bacterium
Lineage: Bacteria
Description: partial small subunit ribosomal RNA
Rfam family: Bacterial small subunit ribosomal RNA
Source: RNAcentral
AGAGCGAACGCUGGCGGCAGGCCUAACACAUGCAAGUCGAGCGCGUGUAGCAAUACACGAGCGGCAGACGGGAGAGUAACACGUGGGAACGCGCCCUUCGGUUCGGAAUAACUCAGGGAAACCUUAGCUAAUACCGCAUAAUACCCACGGGUCAAAGGAGCAAUUCGCUCGAGGAGGGGGUCGCGGCCGAUUAGUUAGUUGGCGAGGGUAAUGGCCUACCAAGACGAUGAUCGGUAU